Long non-coding RNA from Myotis lucifugus (little brown bat), 1538 nucleotides. RefSeq lists it as uncharacterized. The record is from RefSeq and is a predicted model, not a curated record. NCBI's taxonomy places the organism in Eukaryota, Metazoa, Chordata, Mammalia, Chiroptera, Vespertilionidae. The transcript is spliced from 3 exons.
UUGCUCUCUAAAAUCAAUAAAAAUAUUUUUUAAAAUUUUUUCUCCUGCUAUGCUGCUAAGUUAUCCUGGCUGAAUUUGAAACCAAAUUUUAGAUUUUUAGAAAAACAGUAUUUUAGGUAGGCCUGGAGAAACAGAAUAGUCUAGCCCACUCCCUUUUACAAGUGAGAAAACCAGAGGGUAAGUGAACAUUUAACAGCAGGUGGGUGUGGGGGGAGGGGGGAAAUAAAAGGAAAACCUCUCAUGAGAGAGAACUUUCUAUUGUUCAUAUUAAAUCUGUAUAACUUUGUUUUAGCCAAAAUACUCAGAAUUAAAACAGAGAAUCAAAUUGGAAGAAAUGCUGAAAAGCUGUUAGUCCAUCCUGAGGAGGUGCCAGGUACAAGCACAACACAAGACACCCCUAGAAUCUGCCGUGAAGAGCCGGUCCCACGGCCGCAGUAGAGUCGUGGCCUCACAGGAUCCGAGGACGCUGAGUGGUCGACUUCCCUCCAAAGUGUCAGGUCCACACAUGGAACAACCCACUGGACAGCGUGUCUAACGGGCACGUUCCCGUCUCCUGUGUUUGGGGAAAGGACACUGCUCUCCAACCCAAGCGUCCAAACAAAAAACCUGGUAAGAUCUUCAUGCCUCUCCUCAGCCCCAACGUCAAUUCUCUUCAGUGUUGUGAUCCCACCUCUUAGGCUCUCUCAAACACACCCCCUAAGUGGGUACACAAAAUGUGUUGCACACGUCUGUGGGGGAGGGGAAAUUUCCUGUUUUCCCUUAUUUCUGAUUGGUCUAAUAACCAAACUGACAUAUGACAGAUGAACAGGAGAAAACAACCAAACGUAACCGUGUGUGUGCAAGCAGGGGCUCCCGAAGAACAGGGAGCGGAGGACGGAGCUAAGGACACCGUGGGGCUGUAGUCUGGGACUGCAAAGGGAGGAAGGCAAUUCACAUGGAGAUGGAAAAGCAAAGGUCUGCUCUGAGCCAGUAACUGGGACCAAUAUCCAGAACUUCCUUAGAAAAGCACUAAAACCACAAAACACGCAAAUCAUGAUUGACCUGUGGAAUCAGUUGGCCUUGUGAAAUCAAGUUUCAUAGAGUUUGUAAGUACUUACUGCAUGACAGUCAUGUAAAACUGACAUCAUAUUUUCAAGGUCAGCAUUAUUAUGUUUGUGCAACUUCUCGGAGUCAUACAUUUUUGUGAUAUUUUUAACAUCUGACUACAGCUCCACCAUCACAAGGUGCUCGCGCUGUUUACCACACGGAAGCAGCAGCUGUGUUCCUCAGCCCCAGCUCCCUUCAGUGCAUCGAGCAGCCGUUUGCAACCCCAGAAAAGUAAGAGAAACCCUAGAGAGGGUAAGGACGCUCUUCCAGACACUUUCUCGGGUGUUUCCUGAACCUGGAGGCUCCAUCUUCCACUUGACAAGUGCCCCCACUCGCCACGCCCUCACGCCCUGGGCAGUAUGAACCGGUAAGAGGACAAACUCUACACGAAAGGCUACCAUUUAAUAGCUAAAAUAAAAACCACUUACUAAGACUUUAGUUUUCAUGCUAUG